RNAcentral lists this unclassified non-coding RNA (327 nucleotides) under Hevea brasiliensis (rubber tree). The record is from RNAcentral. Lineage: Eukaryota; Viridiplantae; Streptophyta; Magnoliopsida; Malpighiales; Euphorbiaceae.
CUCAUGUCACAGGCAACAGUUACUAGUUUUCCAGGAUUGGGCUUCAAGGUCAGUGUCUGCAAUCGUGCUUAAACCCCAAAUAUUAACAACGGGAAACAUCUGAUCAAUCAUCAAUGGCUAAAUCUCUUUCUCUACGCUUUCUUCACCCAAAACCCAUGGCUUUCUCGGCAUCAACGACCAUGAAAUUCACUCCCUCUCCCUUACUUUUUUCCUCAAAACCCAAAUCUCUAAACAAAUUGGUCUUCUCACUUCCAUUGAGGUGGUUCUCCUCCACUUCUUCUCCUUACCCUCUUCAGUACGAGAUGAUUAUCAACCGCCCAACUCAGC